Molecule: ribosomal RNA, 497 nt
Filed under: uncultured bacterium
Lineage: Bacteria
Description: partial 16S ribosomal RNA
Rfam family: Bacterial small subunit ribosomal RNA
Source: RNAcentral
GAUGAACGCUGGCGGCGUGCCUAAUACAUGCAAGUCGAGCGAACGGACGAGAAGCUUGCUUUUCUGAUGUUAGCGGCGGACGGGUGAGUAACACGUGGAUAACCUACCUAUAAGACUGGGAUAACUUCGGGAAACCGGAGCUAAUACCGGAUAAUAUUUUGAACCGCAUGGUUCAAAAGUGAAAGACGGUCUUGCUGUCACAUAUAGAUGGAUCCGCGCUGCAUUAGCUAGUUGGUAAGGUAACGGCUUACCAAGGCAACGAUGCAUAGCCGACCUGAGAGGGUGAUCGGCCACACUGGAACUGAGACACGGACCAGACUCCUACGGGAGGCAGCAGUAGGGAAUCUUCCGCAAUGGGCGAAAGCCUGACGGAGCAACGCCGCGUGAGUGAUGAAGGUCUUCGGAUCGUAAAACUCUGUUAUUAGGGAAGAACAUAUGUGUAAGUAACUGUGCACAUCUUGACGGUACCUAAUCAGAAAGCCACGGCUAACUACGUG